Molecule: ribosomal RNA, 500 nt
Filed under: uncultured bacterium
Lineage: Bacteria
Description: partial 16S ribosomal RNA
Rfam family: Bacterial small subunit ribosomal RNA
Source: RNAcentral
AUUGAACGCUGGCGGCAUGCCUUACACAUGCAAGUCGAACGGCAGCACGGGAGCAAUCCUGGUGGCGAGUGGCGAACGGGUGAGUAAUAUAUCGGAACGUGCCCAGUCGUGGGGGAUAACGUAGCGAAAGCUACGCUAAUAACGCAUACGAUCUAUGGAUGAAAGCGGGGGAUCGCAAGACCCCGCCCGAUUGGAGCGGCCAAUAUCAGAUUAGGCAGUUGGUGAGGUAAAGGCUCACCAAGCCGACGAUCUGUAGCUGGUCUGAGGGGACGACCAGCCACACUGGGACUGAGACACGGCCCAGACUCCUACGGGAGGCAGCAGUGGGGAAUUUUGGACAAUGGUCGCAAGCCUGAUCCAGCAAUGCCGCGUGCAGGAUGAAGGCCUUCGGGUUGUAAACUGCUUUUGUACGGAACGAAACGGCGAGCUCUAAUACAGUUUGCUAAUGACGGUACCGUAAGAAUAAGCACCGGCUAACUACGUGCCAGCCGCCGCCGUAA